Molecule: ribosomal RNA, 965 nt
Filed under: uncultured bacterium
Lineage: Bacteria
Description: bacterial SSU rRNA
Rfam family: Bacterial small subunit ribosomal RNA
Source: RNAcentral
AUGCAAGUCGAACGCAGUAGCAAUACUGAGUGGCAGACGGGUGAGUAACAUGUGGGAAUCUGCCUUGUGGUUCAGGACAACAUUGGGAAACCGAUGCUAAUACUGGAUAAGCCCUUACGGGGAAAGUUUUAAUGCCAUAAGAUGAGCCCGCAUUUGAUUAGUUAGUUGGUGAGGUAAUGGCUCACCAAGACAAUGAUCAAUAGCUGAUCUGAGAGGAUGAUCAGCCACACUGGGACUGAGACACGGCCCAGACUCCUACGGGAGGCAGCAGUGGGGAAUCUUGCACAAUGGAGGAAACUCUGAUGCAGCGAUGCCGCGUGAGUGAAGAAGGCCUUUGGGUUGUAAAGCUCUUUUGUAGGGGAAGAUAAUGACUGUACCCUAAGAAUAAGGUCCGGCUAACUUCGUGCCAGCAGCCGCGGUAAUACGAAGGGACCUAGCGUAGUUCGGAAUUACUGGGCGUAAAGCGCGCGUAGGCCGUUGAGUUAGUUAAUUGUGAAAUCCCAAAGCUUAACUUUGGAACUGCAAUUAAAACUGCUCGACUAGAGUUUGAUAGAGGAAAGCGGAAUACAUAGUGUAGAGGUGAAAUUCGUAGAUAUUACGUAGAACACCAGUUGCGAAGGCGGCUUUCUGGAUCAACACUGACGCUGAGGCGCGAAAGUAUGGGUAGCAAAGAGGAUUAGAUACCCUCGUAGUCCAUACCAUAAACGAUGAUUGCUAGAUGUUGGAAAUUUAUUUUCAGUAUCGCAGCUAACGCAUUAAGCAAUCCGCCUGGGGAGUACGACCGCAAGGUUAAAACUCAAAUGAAUUGACGGGGACCCGCACAAGCGGUGGAGCAUGUGGUUUAAUUCGAAGAUACGCGCAGAACCUUACCAACCCUUGACAUGUCUGUCGCGAGUUUAGGAAACUAGACUUUUCGGUUCGGCCGGACAGAACACAGGUGCUGCAUGGCUGUCGUCAGCUCGUGU